UACGAACCGUACAGACGUUAUUCGGAAUCACUGGGCUUAAAGGGUGCGUAGGCGGCCAUGUAAGUGAGGUGUGAAAUCCCUCGGCUCAACCGAGGAACUGCGCUUCAUACUGCAUGGCUUGAGGGAGACAGGGGUAAGCGGAACUGAUGGUGGAGCGGUGAAAUGCGUUGAUAUCAUCAGGAACACCGGUGGCGAAAGCGGCUUACUGGGUCUCUUCUGACGCUGAGGUACGAAAGCUAGGGUAGCGAACGGG
This 253-nucleotide ribosomal RNA is filed under the name uncultured bacterium. RNAcentral describes it as "partial 16S ribosomal RNA". It matches the Rfam family "Bacterial small subunit ribosomal RNA", at positions 524 to 776 of the family's 1533-position model. The record is from RNAcentral.